This 246-nucleotide ribosomal RNA is filed under the name uncultured bacterium. RNAcentral's name for it is "partial 16S ribosomal RNA". It matches the Rfam family "Bacterial small subunit ribosomal RNA", at positions 87 to 334 of the family's 1533-position model. The record is from RNAcentral.
UAUGGCGACCGGCACACGGGUGAGUAACACGUAUCCAACCUGCCGAUGACUCGGGGAUAGCCUUUCGAAAGAAAGAUUAAUACCCGAUGGCAUAGCUCUUCCGCAUGGUAGAACUAUUAAAGAAUUUCGGUCAUCGAUGGGGAUGCGUUCCAUUAGGUUGUUGGCGGGGUAACGGCCCACCAAGCCUUCGAUGGAUAGGGGUUCUGAGAGGAAGGUCCCCCACAUUGGAACUGAGACACGGUCCAA